AUUAGUUUUUUAAUUGAAGGCUAGAAUGAAUGGUCGGACAAGAAAUAAACUGUCUUAGAUUAAUAUAUUGAAUUUAACUUUUAAGUGAAAAGGCUUAAAUAAUUUGAAGGGACGAUAAGACCCUAUAAAACUUUAUAUUAAAAAGUGAUGGGUAAGUUUUGUUUAAAGGUUAUUACUUUAAAGUAUUUGGUUGGGGUGACAGGAAUAGAAUAGAAAGUAACUGUUCUUUUUUUUUUACAGUAGUGUUUGAGUUAGUGAUCCUAAAAUGGAUUAAAGAUUAAGUUACUUUAGGGAUAACAGCGUAAUUUUCUUUAAGAGUUCUUAUCGAUAAGAAAGUUUGCG
Molecule: ribosomal RNA, 342 nt
Filed under: Cambarus striatus
Lineage: Eukaryota; Metazoa; Arthropoda; Malacostraca; Decapoda; Cambaridae
Description: partial 16S ribosomal RNA
Source: RNAcentral